AUUGAACGCUGGCGGCAUGCCUUACACAUGCAAGUCGAACGGCAGCACGGGGGCAACCCUGGUGGCGAGUGGCGAACGGGUGAGUAACAUAUCGGAACGUGCCCUGGAGUGGGGGAUAACUAGUCGAAAGACUAGCUAAUACCGCAUACGAUCUACGGAUGAAAGUGGGGGAUCGCAAGACCUCAUGCUCGUGGAGCGGCCGAUAUCUGAUUAGCUAGUUGGGGGGUAAAGGCCUACCAAGGCAUCGAUCAGUAGCUGGUCUGAGAGGACGACCAGCCACACUGGGACUGAGACACGGCCCAGACUCCUACGGGAGGCAGCAGUGGGGAAUUUUGGACAAUGGGCGCAAGCCUGACGACGCAACGCCGCGUGGAGGACGAAGAUCUU
RNAcentral lists this ribosomal RNA (387 nucleotides) under uncultured bacterium. Its description in RNAcentral is "bacterial SSU rRNA". It matches the Rfam family "Bacterial small subunit ribosomal RNA", at positions 29 to 418 of the family's 1533-position model. The record is from RNAcentral.